AACUUUCGGCAACGGAUCUCUUGGCUCUCGCAUCGAUGAAGAACUCAGCGAAAUGCGAUAAGUAAUGUGAAUUGCAGAAUUCAGUGAAUCAUCGAAUCUUUGAACGCAUCUUGCGCUCCUUGGUAUUCUGAGGAGCAUGCCUGUUUGAGUGUCAUUAAAUUCUCAACUACACUGACUUGGUGUGGCUUGGAUUUGGGGUUUGUGGGCUUUUUGUAGUCUGCUCCCCUGAAAUUAAUUAGCGGUACCUUGGUGGAACUGUCUACAGGUGUGAUAAUUAUCUACAUCCUAGACAUCUGCUGGAAUGCUGCUUUCUAGACCUUACUUGUAUUGACAAUCUUGACCUCAAAUCAGGUAGGACUACCCGCUGAACUUAAGCAUAUCAAUAAGCGGAGGCU
This 395-nucleotide unclassified non-coding RNA is filed under the name uncultured Inocybe. RNAcentral describes it as "sequence contains ITS2". The stretch from base 1 to 154 matches the Rfam family "5.8S ribosomal RNA". The record is from RNAcentral. Lineage: Eukaryota; Fungi; Basidiomycota; Agaricomycetes; Agaricales; Cortinariaceae.